This is a small nucleolar RNA of Ictidomys tridecemlineatus (thirteen-lined ground squirrel), 114 nucleotides long. Lineage: Eukaryota; Metazoa; Chordata; Mammalia; Rodentia; Sciuridae. The record is from Ensembl.
GGCUUCCUGAUGCUUACCACAGGCUGUGUUCUUACCCUGACUGUAGAGAAAGAAGAAAUAAGAGUAAGCCUAUGCACUUUGGCCCUGGUCUGUAUUGUAUAUGGGCAAACAUGG